RNAcentral lists this long non-coding RNA (6872 nucleotides) under Triticum aestivum (bread wheat). Its description in RNAcentral is "long non-coding RNA (TAES_LNC010743)". The record is from RNAcentral. Lineage: Eukaryota; Viridiplantae; Streptophyta; Magnoliopsida; Poales; Poaceae.
AAAGCAUGUCAAUUUUAAUUAAAACAUCAUGGAAAAUUUUAAUAUUUUUAAGCAUGCCAAAUUUGAGAUUUUUUUUACCUUGCGCUACUUUAUUCUCGGACCACGGCAAAUUAUAUUUUUUUCGACCCUGGAAUUAGAAUUUUUCAUUAAACUUUUUGAUCAAAGACAUACCCACUAACUGGUUUUUUAUGUGCUCACGUAGCAGGAUUUUUUUUGUUUCUAUUGUAAAAGAAGCGUCAUUUUUUGAUUUUUUAAAGACUAUUUUUUGUUUAUAAAGCUGGGCCUUUUUAGGCCCUUUUUUGGUUUUACGUACCCGUGCUGAGGGAAGAGGCUGAAAGGGUUCGGGCUGGCCUUCCACCACACCGAACGACACAAUCGUUCGUUCCAUCGCUCCUCCCUGCCGAACCUUUCCGUUCGGACCGGGGUUCUCCCAGACCGAACGGUCGGGAGUUAUCGACGUCCAUUACAAUUGAAUUACUAAUCUAACCGGACUACUCAACUGAAAACCUAUACGCGAGUCCGCUACUAACUCGUCCGUCGAGCUGAAGUCGGAUUCCGAGUCCAGCCGGCCUUUGCAUCAUACCCGCUCGAAAGUCUAUAUAUACAAGAACCAGCUAGCAUGCCUUGCUCCGCCAGCGUCCUUUACGAUCGAGUAGCUAGCUAGCCAUGGCAUGCCUUGCUCCGCCAGCGUCCUUCGCUCCCUUUUGCAGGGGCCCCUUUGCAUCUCCGGCCAACUUGUAUCGGCCGCCCGCCUCCAUCGCCUCCUUGUCUCCUUCGUCUCCCCCUUUCUACCCCAGCCGUGUCAUGGUUAGGUGGGAAGCUCCCCCGGCGGGCUGGCUGAAGCUAAACUUCGACGGGUCUGUGUACAACGACGGGUCCGGCCGGGCUAGCAUCGGCGGCGCCAUCCGCGACUGCAACGGCCGCGUUCUUGUCGCCUUUGCCGAGCCGACGGAGCACUCGACCGUGGGCAUAGUGGAGGCCAGGGCGCUCAUCCGCGGGCUGCGCCCCGCGCUGAGUCGCUUCCGCGGCAGGCUGGUGGCGGAAGGAGACGACCUGAUGCUGGUGGAGCUCCUCACCGGCGAGGAGACGCAGACGCGCGUACCUCAGGCCAUGCAAGACGAGAUUCUCAUGCUGCUUGGGUGCUUCGCGGCGUACAAGGUCCAGCACAUCUUCCGCGAGGGCAAUCAGGUCGCCCACGUCCUGUGCAAGGAGGCGUAUCAGCGUCCGGGGGUGUGGGCGGGCGGGAUCGUGNNNNNNNNNNGAGAGCUUGAUUAAACAGUCUAAGAUCACGAAAACCCAUACCGCCCUCUCCUUUUGGUCUGGUUAGUUUAUCCCAAGCGAGCCACUAUGUUUUCCUUCUAUUUUCUUCAUCCCCCCACCAGAAAUUCCUAAUAAGUUGCGCUAGCUCUUCACAAAUAGAUGCCAGAAAUUUAAAUAUACCCAUUGCAUACACAAGGAGAGCAUGAUUACUGAUUUAAUCUCAAUUUCCUUCGCCCGCUUGAUGCAUAUUUUUCACUCCAGUCUGAGAGUCUUUUUAGCGCUUUAUUUUUGGUAUACUGGAAUUUUCCAGCCUUCAUUCUUCCUUCAGGCACUGGUAGUCCAAGAUAUUUAUCGUCAAAACCCUCUUCAGUAAUUUUAAGGACUACCAUGAUUGACACUUGAUCUUCUAACCUGCAAUUCUUCCCAAACAGAAUCGAACACUUAUUUGGACUUAAUAACUGCCCAAUACCCUCCUCAUAGACCGUCAAAAUAUUUUUAAUGGUUAAUGCUUGAUCAAAGGAUCCCUUAAAAAUAGAAGGCUAUCAUCAGCAAAUAACAAAUGAGAUAUACAUGGGCCAUUUUUGCUUAAAUGGAAAUCCUUAAGAACUCCUUUAUCACAGGCGUCCUGAAGUACUAAUGAGAGGGCCUCCACCACAAACAGGAACAAGUACAUUGACAAUGGAUCCCCUUGCCUGAGCCCUCUGUACGGAACAAAGGAAUCCAAAAGUUGUCCGUUAAAACACACCGAGAAUUUUAUGGAGGUAACACAUGUCAUAAUCCUAUUUACCCACACAGGCGCAAAACCAUAAGGCCCUCGGCAUACUCUCCAAAAACUUCCAAUCCACUCGAUCAUAAGCUUUUGCAAGAUCUAACUUAUAAGCACAAUAAGCACCCCUAUUAUCCUUUAACGUGCUUAGGGAGUGCAUACAUUCGAAGGCUAUAAGUGCAUUAUCAGAAAUUAACCUGCCUGGGAUAAACACACUUUGAGUAGGAGAGAUCAUACCAUCCAGCAGUGGCCUUAGCCUAUUAACAAGCCAUUUGAAAAUAAUCUUGUAAAUGAUAUUACACAGACUGAUAGGCCGAAAAUCUUUUAUAGACUAAGGAUUCUUCACCUUCGGAAUAAGAACAAUAGUCGUAUCGUUAAUCCCAUCUGGCAUAAUUCCAGUGAUAAAAACUGUUGGAUCGCCCGAAAAUAUCCUCCUUUAUUAAACCCCAAUUCCUCUGAGAAAAUCUUGCUGGGAAACCAACUGGCCCCGGAGCUUUCAAAGGCCCAAUUGCCCCUUCAAGAUUACCUCGGAUGGAGAAGUGCUGAACAUGAAAGUUUUUCGUCUCAUCAAGAAGAGCAAAUUUGUUGUUAGCGUCAUAUCAACCAAGGUAGUAUGCAAUCUCCAAAAUCGGUGCAAGAGAGUUAUCUCAUACACUCUACAGCCUGGAGCAUCCGGACCUACACAUCCGAGUUAGGGUAGAUUUGAUGUUUUGGACGAGAUUUGAGUCCUUUUCCUCUACGGAAGUCUAACCACGUCAUAUAUAGAUGAUUGGCAAUUGAAAGGAGCUGGUUAUUUGUGUCUCCUGCGAUCACCAAAAGGAGUGUGCAGGGAGCGCGGUCGUGCAGCUAGCGCCGAGUGAGCGAUACAGAGAGGCAGGAGCCUUCUGGGCAGUCGACGACUGCUAGUUUGUGACCGACGACGGCGGCAAGCAGAGGCGGACAGGGCGAGGCCAUUGGGCAUAGGGGACGAGACUCACUGGAAGAGCUUUUUUAUAGCGAAGUCACUCGAAGAGCUGGCUCGAUGUGUCUAGCAUCGGGCGUUGCUGUUGUUGUUGUUGUUGGGUCAAAGACAUUGGGCAUUUUUCCUUUUCUUCGACGCAUCUUUAUUGUGCAUGGUACAUAUGCUGGUCCGAAAUUUUAGGGUGAACCGCGGUCCAUCCUGUCUACCUUGUAGCUCCGCAAUGGCCUAGGCCAUUUUGCAGCAAAAAAAUUAAGUACAGUAUAAAACAAAAAAAUUGGUCGAGCAAGUUCGAUUAGUACGCCUAAUGUGUAGGAUUAGCAAUGAAGGAAACCUGCGAGCAAGCUAGCUAUCCGAGUCGUAUGCAAGCUACGGCAUGCUAGCCAUGCACGUCACUUACUAAUCACCCGGCAACAUAGAUUACAACCGGGAUCGAUAACUCCCGAACGUCCGUAUUUUACGUUUNNNNNNNNNNGAGAGCUUGAUUAAACAGUCUAAGAUCACGAAAACCCAUACCGCCCUCUCCUUUUGGUCUGGUUAGUUUAUCCCAAGCGAGCCACUAUGUUUUCCUUCUAUUUUCUUCAUCCCCCCACCAGAAAUUCCUAAUAAGUUGCGCUAGCUCUUCACAAAUAGAUGCCAGAAAUUUAAAUAUACCCAUUGCAUACACAAGGAGAGCAUGAUUACUGAUUUAAUCUCAAUUUCCUUCGCCCGCUUGAUGCAUAUUUUUCACUCCAGUCUGAGAGUCUUUUUAGCGCUUUAUUUUUGGUAUACUGGAAUUUUCCAGCCUUCAUUCUUCCUUCAGGCACUGGUAGUCCAAGAUAUUUAUCGUCAAAACCCUCUUCAGUAAUUUUAAGGACUACCAUGAUUGACACUUGAUCUUCUAACCUGCAAUUCUUCCCAAACAGAAUCGAACACUUAUUUGGACUUAAUAACUGCCCAAUACCCUCCUCAUAGACCGUCAAAAUAUUUUUAAUGGUUAAUGCUUGAUCAAAGGAUCCCUUAAAAAUAGAAGGCUAUCAUCAGCAAAUAACAAAUGAGAUAUACAUGGGCCAUUUUUGCUUAAAUGGAAAUCCUUAAGAACUCCUUUAUCACAGGCGUCCUGAAGUACUAAUGAGAGGGCCUCCACCACAAACAGGAACAAGUACAUUGACAAUGGAUCCCCUUGCCUGAGCCCUCUGUACGGAACAAAGGAAUCCAAAAGUUGUCCGUUAAAACACACCGAGAAUUUUAUGGAGGUAACACAUGUCAUAAUCCUAUUUACCCACACAGGCGCAAAACCAUAAGGCCCUCGGCAUACUCUCCAAAAACUUCCAAUCCACUCGAUCAUAAGCUUUUGCAAGAUCUAACUUAUAAGCACAAUAAGCACCCCUAUUAUCCUUUAACGUGCUUAGGGAGUGCAUACAUUCGAAGGCUAUAAGUGCAUUAUCAGAAAUUAACCUGCCUGGGAUAAACACACUUUGAGUAGGAGAGAUCAUACCAUCCAGCAGUGGCCUUAGCCUAUUAACAAGCCAUUUGAAAAUAAUCUUGUAAAUGAUAUUACACAGACUGAUAGGCCGAAAAUCUUUUAUAGACUAAGGAUUCUUCACCUUCGGAAUAAGAACAAUAGUCGUAUCGUUAAUCCCAUCUGGCAUAAUUCCAGUGAUAAAAACUGUUGGAUCGCGCGAAAAUAUCCUCCUUUAUUAAACCCCAAUUCCUCUGAGAAAAUCUUGCUGGGAAACCAACUGGCCCCGGAGCUUUCAAAGGCCCAAUUGCCCCUUCAAGAUUACCUCGGAUGGAGAAGUGCUGAACAUGAAAGUUUUUCGUCUCAUCAAGAAGAGCAAAUUUGUUGUUAGCGUCAUAUCAACCAAGGUAGUAUGCAAUCUCCAAAAUCGGUGCAAGAGAGUUAUCUCAUACACUCUACAGCCUGGAGCAUCCGGACCUACACAUCCGAGUUAGGGUAGAUUUGAUGUUUUGGACGAGAUUUGAGUCCUUUUCCUCUACGGAAGUCUAACCACGUCAUAUAUAGAUGAUAGGCAAUUGAAAGGAGCUGGUUAUUUGUGUCUCCUGCGAUCACCAAAAGGAGUGUGCAGGGAGCGCGGUCGUGCAGCUAGCGCCGAGUGAGCGAUACAGAGAGGCAGGAGCCUUCUGGGCAGUCGACGACUGCUAGUUUGUGACCGACGACGGCGGCAAGCAGAGGCGGACAGGGCGAGGCCAUUGGGCAUAGGGGACGAGACUCACUGGAAGAGCUUUUUUAUAGCGAAGUCACUCGAAGAGCUGGCUCGAUGUGUCUAGCAUCGGGCGUUGCUGUUGUUGUUGUUGUUGGGUCAAAGACAUUGGGCAUUUUUCCUUUUCUUCGACGCAUCUUUAUUGUGCAUGGUACAUAUGCUGGUCCGAAAUUUUAGGGUGAACCGCGGUCCAUCCUGUCUACCUUGUAGCUCCGCAAUGGCCUAGGCCAUUUUGCAGCAAAAAAAUUAAGUACAGUAUAAAACAAAAAAAUUGGUCGAGCAAGUUCGAUUAGUACGCCUAAUGUGUAGGAUUAGCAAUGAAGGAAACCUGCGAGCAAGCUAGCUAUCCGAGUCGUAUGCAAGCUACGGCAUGCUAGCCAUGCACGUCACUUACUAAUCACCCGGCAACAUAGAUUACAACCGGGAUCGAUAACUCCCGAACGUCCGUAUUUUACGUUUNNNNNNNNNNAUUCGUUCGGGUAGGGGUGUCUGCAGGCCGAACAGACACGCCUUUAUCGGGGUCAUUUAAUAUGCAUUUUCACGAUGGCAUUUUUAUAUUUCAUAAGAUUUUCAUAUUUUAAGAACAUGGCAAUUUUUUAACUUUCUAGCAUGCCAAAAAAUUAGUUUAUUGCCAUGGCAAUUUCGAGCUUCAUUUUGGCAUGCAAUUUUUUUUUGUGAUGUCAACUUUUCUUUAUCACAACAUGGCAAAAAUUCCCUUUCAUUUUGCCUGACAAAUUUAUUUUAACAAACAUGGCAAAAAAUCCUUUCAUUGCCAUGCAAUUUUUUUACUCUUUUUUGCCAUGUCAAAUUUACAAUUUUUGGUCAUGGCAAAAUUCUCCUUUUAUUUUCCAUGCCAAAAUAAAGAAAAAUUAUGGAGCAUGGCAAAUUUAGCUUUCUACUUGCCAUGUCAACUUUUACUUUAUUUCGCCAUGGCAAUUUUUAACCUUCAUUGCCAUGGCAAUUUUACAGUUAAAUACUUGGCAAAUUUACUAUCUACAUACAUGGGAAAUUUUACUCUAUUUUUGUCAUGUCAUAAUUUUACUUUACUUUUUCAUGGCAAAAUUUUAACUUUAUUGCCAUGGCAAUUUUACUGGAACAUACAUGGCAAUUUUCACUGUACUUUGCCACGUCAAAAAAUUACUAUAUUUUUUGCCAUGGCAAUUUUACCUUAAAAUACUUGGCAAAUUUACAAUUUAAAUACAUGGCAAAUUUUACUCUAUUUUUGCCAUGUCAGAAUUUUACUUUAUUUUGCCAUGGAAUUUUUUUAACUUCAUUACUAUGGCAAAUUUACUUUUAAAUACAUGGAAAUUUCGCAUGGUCAAUUUUAAAUUAGUUUCAUGGCAAUUUCUCCAUGUUUUUAUUUUUUUGGCUGCGUGUAAUUAAAACACCACAACAAUUUUCAUGUAUAAGUUUUUCUUCUCAAAUUCCAUCCAAAGCAUGUCAAUUUUAAUUAAAACAUCAUGGAAAAUUUUAAUAUUUUUAAGCAUGCCAAAUUUGAGAUUUUUUUUACCUUGCGCUACUUUAUUCUCGGACCACGGCAAAUUAUAUUUUUUUCGACCCUGGAAUUAGAAUUUUUCAUUAAACUUUUUGAUCAAAGACAUACCCACUAACUGGUUUUUUAUGUGCUCACGUAGCAGGAUUUUUUUUGUUUCUAUUGUAAAAGAAGCGUCAUUUUUUGAUUUUU